RNAcentral lists this ribosomal RNA (255 nucleotides) under Listeria monocytogenes. RNAcentral describes it as "partial 16S ribosomal RNA". It matches the Rfam family "Bacterial small subunit ribosomal RNA", at positions 639 to 892 of the family's 1533-position model. The record is from RNAcentral. Lineage: Bacteria; Bacillati; Bacillota; Bacilli; Caryophanales; Listeriaceae.
GACUGGAGUGCAGAAGAGGAGAGUGGAAUUCCACGUGUAGCGGUGAAAUGCGUAGAUAUGUGGAGGAACACCAGUGGCGAAGGCGACUCUCUGGUCUGUAACUGACGCUGAGGCGCGAAAGCGUGGGUAGCAAACAGGAUUAGAUACCCUGGUAGUCCACGCCGUAAACGAUGAGUGCUAAGUGUUAGGGGGUUUCCGCCCCUUAGUGCUGCAGCUAACGCAUUAAGCACUCCGCCUGGGGAGUACGACCGCAAG